This is an RNA transcript of Corticium candelabrum, 616 nucleotides long. RefSeq lists it as uncharacterized. The record is from RefSeq and is a predicted model, not a curated record. The transcript has 4 exons. NCBI's taxonomy places the organism in Eukaryota, Metazoa, Porifera, Homoscleromorpha, Homosclerophorida, Plakinidae.
UUGUUGUUUCGGUUGUGAGGUUUGUUUCGAGGCAGUUGCCGAGUAAGAGAAGAGACUGGCUGAUGAGAAGUCUCUGACGAAACCUUUUGGAGGUUUACAAGAAGCAAGACGGUUACACCACCAUCUAUGGAUGAACUUCAGUGUUAUUCCAAACAUGACAAAUGGCUUAUUGUCUUCAACUUUAAAUUUAAAGAUGGUGGAACUUUAGAUGCUGCUGCUGGCUUAUUUCUCAAUAUUUUGGCAAAUGACAUAGCUAUUAGCCAAGUAUUGAGUAUUUGCUAUCUAUUCAACAGGCAACAGACCACACAAACACUGGAAAUUUGGUCUUUACCACAGCAUCAAUACUUAUCAUUCAUAGUAUGCAUUUGGAGAUUGGCAACAUCCGGGACCUUUGGGUCAGAGUUUGAGUGCGGGAGGGCCACAGGUCUGCAAACUAACACACAAUUGUCUCUCUCUUCGGAGUGUCAGGUUCUGUCUACAGCAAGUAUCUACGGCAAGUACAGCAAGAGUGAAGUACAUCAUAGUGACUUCUGCUACAGUAGUGUUAGAUUGCGGUGUUAGAUUGCAGAAUAGUGAUUGCAUUAUCUAACCUGGGCCCUAAGGGUCCUUGUAAACA